Hipposideros armiger (great roundleaf bat) is the source of this 1039-nucleotide long non-coding RNA. RefSeq lists it as uncharacterized. The record is from RefSeq and is a predicted model, not a curated record. The transcript is spliced from 3 exons. NCBI's taxonomy places the organism in Eukaryota, Metazoa, Chordata, Mammalia, Chiroptera, Hipposideridae.
AGGGGAGGGGAGUGGGUAUUGUGCGGUGUGGGGGGAGAAUUCCUACGGGUGGGUUUCCGAAUAUUGUGUUCAACUUUUUGAAAGCAGCUCGUGACCCCGAAACUGCAUCCCCUGGAGCCGAGGACCCAGGCGCCGGGCGGGCGGGUGUACCCACCCAGUCCCCUCCCAGUCCCCGCAACACCCGCCUCCGGGUGGGGGCGACACGGUCUCUCCCCGCCGCUGCGCCGCUGGCCCCGGACGGAGGCUGGGCAGGUGCCGCGAGCUCUGCCGAAAGCGCUGAAAUCGAAAACCAUCGCCACUCAGGGAGCACUGAGGCCAAGUGGGGCUGAGACUCUGCUCGGCAACAUCCCUUCCCCAGCCUCGGCUGGGGUUCCUGCCGACCCGCCGCAUCACGCCUGCUCCGGUGGCGGCCGCGGCUUAGGGAGCGCAAAGCAGGGCGGCGGCAAAGCACGCAGCUUUGUGUGCUGGGACAGGGCCCGGCGCAGCCCGGCAAACCGGCAGCCCGGGCUGUCAGAGCCUCGGGGUACAGCCCAGCUCCGCGCCACCCACCGAGCCCACCGAGCCCACCUCGCGGUCCAGUUGCCGCCAACGCCUCUCUGCUCUGGUCUGAUGCACCGCACCCGCCGCCCGGAGCCUCCGCCUGACCCUAGCGCAGAGCUUCGAGCCUGACCGGCCACACCCCGCAUGGCCAGAGAAAGAAUUUUCUGUUUCCAACUUCGGCUUUUGGUUUUGUGUGUCCACCUCGCGCAGCUCCGGAGCCGGCCGGCCCCAAAUGGAGUCUCAACAGGUGGCCGGCAAAGUUUGGAGACUUACCACACUGAGGAGAAAGAGAGGACCAUCUCUACCCAAGCUGAAUUCUGAAGAAAACCUGGUCCUAGCUUCCAGAAAUCCUCAAUGUAGGCAAAGUUUUGGCUCAGUCACCAAGCAUAAAACAGAAGCUGAAUCCAUUACUCAAAUUUUCAAAUUAACCAGAGGACACGUGGAAAAGCCUUUCUUUGGGGUGGCUGGUUAGCUCAGGUGGUUAGAGCACGAACUCAUA